UUUAUUGACGAUUAUUCCAGAUACUACACAACUUAUAUUUUAAAGGACAAAUCAGAAACUGUAGAAAAAUUGAAGAUGCUUGUUGCAAGCAUUAAAAAUCAAUUCAGAAGGAAGCCACAAGCAAUACUUUCAGACAGCGGUGAUGUUAAACAUUUGCACACUACCCCAUUUACCCCAGAACAAAGUGGAAUAGCAGAGAGAAAGAAUUGCUCUCUGAUGGAGAUGGUCAGAUGUAUGCAGAACAGACUGCCAACAAAAGCUGCAAAUAAAGCAGCAUUUGAACAUUGGUUUGGAAGAGUACUGAACAUCAGUCACAUUAGAGUCUUUGGAACAAAAGCUUUUGCAUAUGUGCCAGCACAAAGACAUACCAAACUUAGCACCAGGACUGAGUUAGGAAUAUUUGUCGGCUUUGAGAAGGGGUGCAAAGGUUACAUAAUUCUUAAUCCAAGGACAGGAGAAGUGAAAGUGAGUAGUGUAUUUUAGAGAAGGAGAGCAAUCUUGUGCAUGUGUUCCUAAUCAGAACAAUUUUAAAGAGAAACAGACUAAUGCUGAUUUGGUAACUGAAGAGGUUCCAGUAAAACUGAUCACAGAAGUUGAAAGAACAGAGAAAACUAGUCCAAGUAAGAUACCAUACUUUACCAGGGGAAACAGAGUCAGGACAAGAAGCUGCGUGUGAUGAUAUGGAUGAACAAUUAGAACCUUUAAUCAGACACUCAUCAUGAGUUAACAAAGGUGUGCCAGCAGAGCAACUAUCAUACAUCACAAAAGCAGUGCCUGUGUCGACCACAGCAAACUAUGGCAAGUUCUUAAAGAAAUAGGAGUGCCUGAUCACCUCAUCUGUCUCCUGAGAAAUCUCUAUGUGGGACAAGAAGCUACAGUUAGAACUGGAUAUGGAACAACUGGUUGGUUCAAAAUUGGGAAAGGAGUACGACAAGGCUGUAUAUUGUCUCCCUGCAUAUUUAACUUAUAUGCAGAAUUCAUCAUGUGAAAGGCUGGGCUGGAUGAAUCCCUAGCCGGAAUUAAGAUUACUGGAAGAAAUAUCAACAACCUCAGAUAUGCAGAUGACACAACCUUGAUGGCAGAAAGUGAGGAGGAAUUAAAGAACCUUUUAUUGAGGGUGAAAGAGGAGAGCGCAAAAUAUGGUCUGAAGCUCAACAUCAAAAAAACGAAGAUCAUGGCCACUGGUCCCAUCACCUCCUGGCAAAUAGAAGGGGAAGAAAUGGAGGCAGUGAGAGAUUUUACUUUCUUGGGCUCCGUGAUCACUGCAGAUGGUGACAGCAGCCACAAAAUUAAGAGACGCCUGCUUCUUGGGAGAAAAGCAAUGACAAACCUAGACAGCAUCUUAAAAAGUAGAGACAUCACCUUGCCAACAAAGGUCCGUAUAGUAAAAGCUAUGGUUUUUCCAGUAGUGAUGUAUGGAAGUGAGAGCUGGACCAUAAAGAAGGCUGAUCGCCGAAGAACUGAUGCUUUUGAAUUAUGGUGCUGGAGGAGACUCUUGAGAGUCCCAUGGACUGCAAGAAGAUCAAACCUCUCCAUUCUGAAGGAAAUCAGCCCUGAGUGCUCACUGGAAGGACAGAUCGUGAAGCUGAGGCUCCAAUACUUUGGCCACCUCAUGAGAAGAGAAGACGCCCUGGAAAAGACCCUGAUGUUGGGAAAGAUGGAGGGCACAAGGAGAAGGGGACGACAGAGGACGAGAUGGUUGGAUAGUGUCUUCGAAGCUACCAGCAUGAGUUUAACCAAACUGCAGGAGACAGUGGAAGACAGAAGUGCCUGGCGUGCUCUGGUCCAUGGGGUCACGAAGAGUCAGACAUGACUAAACGACUAAACAACAACAACAAUGGUGAACCUGACACAUGGAAAGAAAUUGACAAACUUCCUGCAGAAGAAGCUGAUAAGUUGAUAGAAGCAGACAAGGAAGAAAUUGAGCGUUGAAUAAAACAACACUUGGACACUUACUAAAUUGCCAAAGGGUAAAAAGGCUAUAGGGUGCAAAUGGGUGUUUAAGGAAAAGUUAAAUGAGAAUGGAAAUGUACAAAGUAUAAAGCAAGGCUAGUAGCAAAGGAUAGACACAAAAAUAUGUUGAAGAUUAUGAUGAGACAUUCACGCCUGUAGUUAAAUAUACUACAAUUAGAAUUUUACUUAGUGUUGCAGCAUCCAAGCAACUUGUGUUGAACAACUGGAUGUAAAGUCUGCUUUCUUAAAUUGGGAAAUUGAAGAGGAAUUGUAUAUGAUUCAGCCAGAAAGAUUUGAAAGAGAUGAAGGGCUGGUUUGUAAACUGCGGAAGGGAAUGUAUGGUUUAGAAAAGGCUGAGAGAGCAUGGAAUGAAAAGUUAAAUAAUCUGCUUUUAAAAUGAGGUUUUUUAGAAAGUAAAGUAGAUCCAUGUCUCUAUACAAGGCAAUGAAUUGAAAAAAGAAUUAUUUUGCUUGUAUAUUUAGAUGAUAUAAUUUUGGUUACUGAAAACAAACAAGAAUAUACAAGAAUUGAACUUCUGGCUUUUUCUACUAAGAGCAACACCCAGAUGCGCAGAUGUGAGUUGUGUUCCCUUCUGGGUGCGAAUGGGGCUCCAGAAUGGAUCCCGUUUGCAUCCAGAGGUACCACUGUAGAAAUUAAAAGACUAGGAAACGUAUCUUAUUUUGGGGGCAUGCAAGAAGAGAGGGAGGAAGAUGGUAGUUUUCUUCUUAAUCAAAGGCAGAAAAUAAUUGACUUAAUAUAAUUUUUCGGUUUGAAAGAAGAACAUUCUGUGUCAACUCCAAUGUACUAAUUUUCUUUCAGGAGAGGUUGAGUGUGAAUAUUUAUGUAAUAAUGAAUUGUGCAGAACUGUAAUAGGUAAAUUAUUUGUAGCUACUACAAGUAGGCUUGAUAUUGCCUCAGCAAUGGGUAUACUAUGCAGAAAGGUGAGUUCACCUACCCAAAGAGACUGGACUGCAUUGAAAAGUAAGAUAUUUAAAGGGAAAGGUUGAUCUUAAAUUAAAAUUGUCAGCUGCAAAGGAUCCCAAAUUAGUGGGAUACUCAGAUGCAGACUGGGUUGGAGACAAAGAAUGAAGCUGUAAGUUAGGCAAGUCAUAAACAAAGUUCAGUAGCUCACUCUUCAACAAAGCAGGGUAUGUUUCUGCUGCAGAAGUGUGCAAAGAAGCACAAUGGCUUAACCAAAUUUUAGAGGAUUUGGGAAUGCCAGAUUCUAAGCCCUUUAAGCUAAUGGAAUACAAUCAGAUUUAUCUGAAAUCGGUGCAAUCAGAGAAGAUAAAUUGAUGUACCAAACAUAUAGACAUAAAAUGUCAUGCAAUAAGAGAUUUGAGCCAGAAGGGAUUUAUAGAAAUGCAAUAUUGUCCAACAAUAGAAAUGAUAGCUGACAUUUUAACAAAGCCUUUGUCUAAAGAAAGUUUUGAAAAAUUACGUGCUAAAUUAAAUAUGAUUAAUUCAAAUUAGGCUCAGGGAGAGGGGGAUUGUGAGAAAAACACUGGGGCCCAAUUUGAUCAGUAGAAUGUUUGGUAUCUGGUGGGCGGGGCUUGUGUGUUCUGCUCUGGAAUCAGCCCCUCCCUUCAGCGUGUGUUCAGUUAAGAGUGUCAGUUAUGAGGGACCAACUGCCUCUUCUUGUUUCUUGCCUCAGACUUGCCUCAUGUUGUAUUUAGCUUCUCUCAUGUUAUUUUGUUGUAGCUUUAUUUUUUAUUAAAACUUAGUUUAAGGGAGCCACUUAUUUUUCUCAAAGAAAGAGAAACUCUGCUGAAGAAAGGUGUGGAAUAUCCUAAACGUAGGAACUGAUCUUCUAGUCCUAUGCAGAAUGGCAAAGGGAUUUGCUGGCAGGUGACAGAAUACAUCACACUGGAAGAUAAGCAGCUGAAAAGACUCCUAGAUCAGUUGCCAAGGAUCAGUGAAAAGGCAGUCCCUGCGCUCAGGCUCACAGUUUAAAAGGGGAAAUACAC
Long non-coding RNA from Podarcis raffonei (Aeolian wall lizard), 3920 nucleotides. RefSeq lists it as uncharacterized. The record is from RefSeq and is a predicted model, not a curated record. The transcript is spliced from 3 exons. Lineage: Eukaryota; Metazoa; Chordata; Lepidosauria; Squamata; Lacertidae.